GUCCUGGCAGUAAACGGUGCACACUUGGUGUGGGAGGAUUCGACCCCUCCCGUGCCGGAGCUAACGCGUUAAGUGUGCCGCCUGGGAAGUACGGUCGCAAGAUUAAAACUCAAAGAAAUUGACGGGGACCCGCACAAGCGGUGGAGUAUGUGGCUUAAUUCGAUGCAACGCGAAGAACCUUACCUGGUCUUGACAUGCAUCUUGUCGUCUGUGAAAGCAGGCUAGGGUAGCAAUACCCGAUUUGCACAGGUGCUGCAUGGCUGUCGU
This 267-nucleotide ribosomal RNA is filed under the name uncultured bacterium. RNAcentral's name for it is "partial 16S ribosomal RNA". It matches the Rfam family "Bacterial small subunit ribosomal RNA", at positions 793 to 1055 of the family's 1533-position model. The record is from RNAcentral.